UAGACAUAUAACAACUUCACCUCAAUAACGCCCAAAUCAACUAAUCACUGCAUUCAAUAAGUUGAUCAAUAGAACCAAAAAUGAACCAUUCCCUAUGGUUUGAUGGUACGACCCUUGUAUUGGCCUCGAUGGAUGACAAAGUCAUCAGGAGGUUGAAACUCUUCCAACCAAGUCACAUCUGUGAACAUCUCCCCAUCGAACUCGAGUUCACCUGGUAGAUCCCCUCGAGGAGACCUUCGGAAAUAAGUGCAAUGACGUCCAUCAUCAGAAGAGUAGGGUGGAGACAGGAUAUCGAAAAUUGCACAAGGGGUUAUAGCUUUGAAACAAUGAAUAUUCCCUCCAGCCGUCGGAUAGAGAGUAGUUGUUCCACAUGGAGCUGUCAUCUCACAAUCUUUAAAAAGUUUAGCUGGUCUUGCACCUUCGGGUGGAACUGAAGGCCCCGGACUAUCGAUCCAAUCAUAAGCUUUCACAUGUAAGGAACCAUAUAUAAGCUUGCUUAAAACGGUCAUCCCAGGGUGGUUAUGUAAAGGAAUGAUUGAAGAAGGUGGCAUGCAGAAUAUUCCCAUAGUGAAGCUCUCACAUUCAUGCAAGUGUAGGUAUUUGAUUGGCAGGAUUGGUCGUAAACCCCCAUUACGCUCAUGCAUGGUACCUUUCCAAGUCUUGACAAGUUGUGCCUCCUGCUCAAGACCUACAUCAGAAGGCUUGAUUUUGUCUAAGAGGGAACGGACUUUCUCAAGAGCAUCUUCUGAUAUGGGUCCAUUAGUAGAAAGUGAUGCUUUACAGGCGUUAUAAAGCUUUUGUACAGCUGGCAUGUUUAUCAAACCGACCACCUUUACCCUGACCGCCUAUGCAAACAAACUUGUCUUGUAGUUAACAGCUCGAAGUUUAACCCAAGAAAUCCUGUCUGAAGGGUCCUCUAUUUCUCAGAAGACCCUUCAAGUACAAAUCAGGCACAGGCUGGACUUUUAACACAAACAAAGGUGAUGAUCGUAUAUCACGUGGUGCUUAAUGGAUGCAGCUUUCUAUUAUCAUUGCCACCUACUUCGGCGAUGAAAUACAGAGAGAUCGCCCGGACGAGAGAGGAGAGAGAGCUG
RNAcentral lists this unclassified non-coding RNA (1094 nucleotides) under Hevea brasiliensis (rubber tree). The record is from RNAcentral. Lineage: Eukaryota; Viridiplantae; Streptophyta; Magnoliopsida; Malpighiales; Euphorbiaceae.